GGCCGCCUGGCGAAAUGGCAUCGCGUCUGACUACGAUUCGAUAUAGAUAUCUAUGUUUGUUGUAAUCAGGAGAUUGCAGGUUCGACCCCUGCGGUGGUCA
This is a non-coding RNA of Macrolepiota fuliginosa MF-IS2, 100 nucleotides long. NCBI's taxonomy places the organism in Eukaryota, Fungi, Basidiomycota, Agaricomycetes, Agaricales, Agaricaceae. The record is from the annotation of a GenBank genome assembly.